RNAcentral lists this microRNA precursor (92 nucleotides) under Callithrix jacchus (white-tufted-ear marmoset). RNAcentral's name for it is "mir-1284 microRNA precursor family". It matches the Rfam family "mir-1284 microRNA precursor family". Lineage: Eukaryota; Metazoa; Chordata; Mammalia; Primates; Cebidae. The record is from Rfam by way of RNAcentral.
UAAGGCAGUUGAAUGUUUUCUGUACAAACCCUGGCUUUUCUUAAUUUUUAUGUAUUGGAAAGCCCAUGUUUGUAUUGGAAACUGCUGGUGUC